Molecule: ribosomal RNA, 409 nt
Filed under: uncultured Armatimonadales bacterium
Lineage: Bacteria; Bacillati; Armatimonadota; Armatimonadia; Armatimonadales
Description: bacterial SSU rRNA
Rfam family: Bacterial small subunit ribosomal RNA
Source: RNAcentral
AUUAGGAAUCUUGCGCAAUGGGCGAAAGCCUGACGCAGCGACGUCGCGUGAAGGAUGAAAUCUUUCGGGAUGUAAACUUCUUUUAUCGGGGAAGAAACAAAUGACGGUACCCGAUGAAUAAGCCCCGGCUAACUACGUGCCAGCAGCCGCGGUAAUACGUAGGGGGCGAGCGUUGUCCGAAGUUACUGGGCGUAAAGAGCGCGUAGGCGGGUCUUUAAGUGAGGGGUGAAAGGUUCAGGGCUCAACCCGGACACUGCCUUUCAUACUGGAGACCUUGAGUGUGGGAGAGGCGAGUGGAAUGGUCGGUGUAGCGGUGAAAUGCGUAGAUAUCGAUCGGAACACCCAUGGCGAAGGCAGCUCGCUGGCCUAUAACUGACGCUGAGGCGCGAAAGCGUGGGGAGCAAACAGG